This 496-nucleotide long non-coding RNA is filed under the name Betula platyphylla (Asian white birch). Lineage: Eukaryota; Viridiplantae; Streptophyta; Magnoliopsida; Fagales; Betulaceae. The record is from RNAcentral.
GACGCAGCUUCCGAACAAACCACAUUCUCCAGGUAUUUCGGCCUCACCCACACCCAAUUCAAAAUUCUCCAGCCCACCGUUACGAUUGUAACGACCACAAGAAUGAAGAUCGCAGCCACUGAUACUUCCAUUUCUCGCAGACACAAGACUUCCAGGUGUUGGAGAAGAGUAGAAAGGAUUGGAGCUUUGGAGGUGUAUUAAUCCUUGCUCCCUCAGCCGCCUGUUUGUCUAUUUAAUUAUCAUUGACUACCAAACCACAUAAAAGAAUUCUUACCAUACUUCUCCAGAGUGUGAUGGACGAUGGGGACGACGCGAGGCGAAAUAUCAUCAGAGAAAUUUAUGGGUUUAGAAUUUGCUUGCUUUGACAUCAUGGAGCUUUCCUUCAAGUCUCCGAAGAAAAUUCGAUAGGGAUUGCCUGCAACCCAUCUUGGUCAAAAUAUCUUUUAUUUGUUCCGGGUCCAUAAUAAACACUCUCGGUCUUGGGCGAAGCUUUUUU